UACGGAGGGUGCAAGCGUUAUCCGGAUUCACUGGGUUUAAAGGGUGCGUAGGUGGUGAGGUAAGUCGGAUGUGAAAGCUCGGAGCUCAACUCCGAAAUGGCAUUGGAAACUACCUUGCUCGAGGGUUGGAGGGGGGACUGGAAUGCUUGGUGUAGCAGUGAAAUGCGUAGAUAUCAAGCGGAACACCAGUGGCGAAGGCGAGUCCCUGGACAACUCCUGACACUGAGGCACGAAAGCUAGGGGAGCAAACAGG
Molecule: ribosomal RNA, 253 nt
Filed under: uncultured bacterium
Lineage: Bacteria
Description: partial 16S ribosomal RNA
Rfam family: Bacterial small subunit ribosomal RNA
Source: RNAcentral